AUGGGAUGGGGCGACGACGACGGCGGCAGCGGCCUUCUCUCGGUGCUUGCUGAUGUGGUGGCCAUCGACACCGGCAACGAGUUGCAGCACGUAGACAUCAAAGGCUGCGGGUGUGACGGAGGAGCACCAUGGCGGGCGUGCAGGCCAUGGCUCUCUAUGUUAAGGGAGCAUUCCUCAAUUUUUUGGGGGUUCAACGGAACAGCAGGAGUGUGGAGAAUUAAGGCACUCGAGGACUCUGGAAUAUGGAUGGAGAGAACAACAGUUGAAGACAUGGAUAUUGCUGUUCGAGCACAUAUAAAGGGAUGGAAGUUUCUGUUAUGGUUGAUGACUUUUCUGGUCGUCAUUUGUGUAUUUCCUCUUCGGAGGGUGAUCUCGUCGCCCACGGAUAAGCAAUCCAAGGAGAAGAGAGUAGGGUCUGCGCCCAACUUGACUCCCUAUAAAAGGAGGGGAGGUGGCUGCGAGCAUGCCAUCAGCGUUGGGUCGAUGGUGUUGUGCCUCGGCAGCCGGGAUCAUGCAAUGCAGAUGGGAAGCAGCAGUGCCGCCUCUCCCCCCGAGCUCCAGAUACAUGAUAGCAGCAUCGAGGAGGAGAAAAACUACAUUCAGAGGUUACAGAAUGGCAAUGGGUGGCAUGGUUAG
This 636-nucleotide ribosomal RNA is filed under the name Triticum aestivum (bread wheat). Its description in RNAcentral is "partial small subunit ribosomal RNA". Lineage: Eukaryota; Viridiplantae; Streptophyta; Magnoliopsida; Poales; Poaceae. The record is from RNAcentral.